CCAUCGAUCACACUUAUCUGGCCAAUUUGGUGAAUUAUGUUUUGAUUAGAUCGCUAAGUGAUUCGAGUUAACCCAUACCAUUAAGGUUAAUCAGUGUGACUGAUCUAGGUGCCAGUUUGAUCAGCAUGAUCCUAAUCCGAUUCAAUGACUUGGUGAAGUCAGUGGGAGGAUUGUGGUCUACUGAUUGAUUUCUUCUCUCUUCUUAAUUCACAAAUUAAAUCUUCUAAAUUAUUAGGUACUUUAAAUAAGAUAAUUAUGGUG
This 261-nucleotide long non-coding RNA is filed under the name Elaeis guineensis (African oil palm). RNAcentral describes it as "long non-coding RNA (EGUI_LNC071879)". The record is from RNAcentral. Lineage: Eukaryota; Viridiplantae; Streptophyta; Magnoliopsida; Arecales; Arecaceae.